RNAcentral lists this ribosomal RNA (250 nucleotides) under uncultured bacterium. RNAcentral's name for it is "partial 16S ribosomal RNA". It matches the Rfam family "Bacterial small subunit ribosomal RNA", at positions 779 to 1029 of the family's 1533-position model. The record is from RNAcentral.
UAGAUACCCUGGUAGUCCAUGCCGUAAACGUUGGGAACUAGAUGUAGGGGCCAUUCCACGGUUUCUGUGUCGCAGCUAACGCAUUAAGUUCCCCGCCUGGGGAGUACGGCCGCAAGGCUAAAACUCAAAGGAAUUGACGGGGGCCCGCACAAGCGGCGGAGCAUGCGGAUUAAUUCGAUGCAACGCGAAGAACCUUACCAAGGCUUGACAUAUACGAGAACGGGCUAGAAAUAGUCAACUCUUUGGACAC